UAAGCGGAGGAAAAGAAACUAACGAGGAUUCCCCUAGUAACUGCGAGUGAAGCGGGAAAAGCUCAAAUUUAAAAUCUGGUGNUCUUUGGCCAUCCGAGUUGUAAUUUAGAGAAGCGUCUUNCGCGCUGGACCGUGCACAAGUCUCCUGGAAUGGAGCGUCAUAGAGGGUGAGAAUCCCGUCUUUGGCACGGACCCCAGGGCUUCUGUGAUGCGCUCUCGAAGAGUCGAGUUGUUUGGGAAUGCAGCUCAAAAUGGGUGGUGAACUCCAUCUAAAGCUAAAUAUUGGCGAGAGACCGAUAGCGAACAAGUACCGUGAGGGAAAGAUGAAAAGCACUUUGGAAAGAGAGUGAAACAGUACGUGAAAUUGUUGAAAGGGAAACGCUUGAAGUCAGUCGCGUCGACCGAGACUCAACCUCGCCUCGGCUUGGUGUACUUCUCGGCCGACGGGUCAGCAUCAACCUCGAUCCUCGGAUAAUGGCGAGGGAAAGGUGGCACCCUUGCGGGUGUGUUAUAGUCCCCUGUCGCAUGCGAGGGUCAGGAUUGAGGAACUCAGCGCGCGCCUCUCGGUGUCGGAGCGUUUCACGCUCACGUCACGCGCUUAGGAUGCUGGCGUUAAUGGCUUUAAACGACC
This 631-nucleotide ribosomal RNA is filed under the name uncultured Russulaceae. RNAcentral describes it as "LSU rRNA". It matches the Rfam family "Eukaryotic large subunit ribosomal RNA", at positions 47 to 649 of the family's 3401-position model. The record is from RNAcentral. Lineage: Eukaryota; Fungi; Basidiomycota; Agaricomycetes; Russulales; Russulaceae.